RNAcentral lists this ribosomal RNA (459 nucleotides) under uncultured bacterium. Its description in RNAcentral is "partial 16S ribosomal RNA". It matches the Rfam family "Bacterial small subunit ribosomal RNA", at positions 338 to 795 of the family's 1533-position model. The record is from RNAcentral.
CCUACGGGAGGCAGCAGUGAGGAAUAUUGGUCAAUGGGCGCGAGCCUGAACCAGCCAAGUCGCGUGAGUGAAGACGGUCCUAUGGAUUGUAAACCUCUUUUGUCGGGGAGCAAAAGACGCCACGCGUGGCGUUCCGAGAGUACCCGAAGAAAAAGCAUCGGCUAACUCCGUGCCAGCAGCCGCGGUACUACGGAGGAUGCGAGCGUUAUCCGGAUUUCUUGGGGUAAAAGGGUGCGCAGGCGGAAGAUCAAGUCAGCGGUAAAAGUGAUGGGCCCAACCUCUUCGAGCCGUUGAAACUGGUGUGCUUGAGUGAGUGAGAAGUAUGCGGAAUGCGUGGUGUAGCGGUGAAAUGAGUAGAUAUUACGAAGAACUCCGAUUGCGAAGGCAGCAUACCGGCGCUCAACUGACGCUCAUGCACGAAAGUGUGGGUAGCGAACAGGAUUAGAUACCCCAGUAGUC